Molecule: long non-coding RNA, 508 nt
Organism: Lacerta agilis (Sand lizard)
Lineage: Eukaryota; Metazoa; Chordata; Lepidosauria; Squamata; Lacertidae
Exons: 2
Source: RefSeq, a predicted model, not a curated record
UACAGCACUUCUUCAGCUUCACCUAAAGAUCCUGAACAUUCAUUAACUGAAUAUAUUGCCCACCUGGAGGCCAUUCAGCAGAGACUGGGAAUUAUUAUGCCGGGACAAUCUCGACAAGAGAAACUUUGAAAGUAUUGGGAUCACAUCUUUGACAUGAACUACAGAAACUUUCAGCUAUUGCUUUCUUCUCCAGUGAAUAUCUUGCGCAAGCAACAUGUCUGCAUGUACAGAAUCUGUCAACACUUUUGUUCAGUUGAAUAAAAGUGCCUGUGUUUGCUGUAAUUUUGCAUCAUGUUUUUAUACAAAGUAUUUUUUUAUAAAUUUUAGUAAUCCUUCACGGUUUUUUAUUUGGAUUUAUUAGGAAGUUGACAACUGAAUGUGCCAUGCUGUGUUUUUCUUAAGACAAGUGCCAUAAUGUCUCUGUCAGUGAUUCUUUUUACUAAAAUUCUAAAAUGAUUCAGUUGGAUUUCUCACAAACCAUUAUUAAAAAAAACCUUCUAAACCCUUA